AGGUUCCUGGUGGACUCAAUGAUAGAGAAUAUUGAAAGCACAGAGAAGCCAAUUGUUGAAAAAAAAGAUAUAGAUGUUACAGAGCUUCCCAUUGUUCUUGGUGAUAACGAACAACAAAAAAUACUGGAAAACGCACAGGUUCAGCGUUCCUGUUGUCAAUAAAGAUAGGUGUCAGUUCAUCAAAUAUUGUGUUUAGUACAUAAGAUCAAAUAAGAUAAAACAGUUGGUUA
Molecule: long non-coding RNA, 230 nt
Organism: Eurytemora carolleeae
Lineage: Eukaryota; Metazoa; Arthropoda; Copepoda; Calanoida; Temoridae
Exons: 3
Source: RefSeq, a predicted model, not a curated record